UAGGGAAUAUUGGGCAAUGGAUGCAAGUCUGACCCAGCCAUGCCGCGUGGAGGAAGAAGGUCCUCUGGAUUGUAAACUCCUUUUGUCGGGGAAGAAGAGUCAUCUUGCGAGGUGAUGUGACGGUACCCGAUGAAUAAGCCACGGCUAACUACGUG
Molecule: ribosomal RNA, 155 nt
Filed under: uncultured bacterium
Lineage: Bacteria
Description: partial 16S ribosomal RNA
Rfam family: Bacterial small subunit ribosomal RNA
Source: RNAcentral